RNAcentral lists this unclassified non-coding RNA (201 nucleotides) under Zea mays. RNAcentral describes it as "misc RNA Zm00001eb115780". Lineage: Eukaryota; Viridiplantae; Streptophyta; Magnoliopsida; Poales; Poaceae. The record is from RNAcentral.
CUGCCGGCUCGCUGUUUUGUGGAGUCCCAUGGACAGCGCGCCGUCGACGUCCGCCAUGUGCUCGCUGUUUUGCGCAGCCCAUCCGCGACGCCGUCGAAAACUGUGCUAGUGGUCGACGUCGUGCCUUGCCCGUUCGACGAAAUACCGAGCCAUGUGGACAGCCAUGCGUCUAGUCACGACCCGUUCAGGACCGAGAGAUGA